GAUGCAGCUGAAGCCCGUCGGGUCUUCCACGCAGGUGGCUCCGUUCAUACACGGGGACGACAAACACGCGUGUUCGACUGUCGUUAGAAGAAAGACAUAGAGGACGUGGAGGGGACGAGAAAAGAGAUUUAAAAUUUAAAAGACCUUGGAGCCGCUGGGGUCACAGUUGAAGUGGCCGAAGAAGUCGUCACGGGCCCGGCAGAAUUUGUUGCAGAAAGGUCCGUAGUAGUUGGCGUCACAGCGGAAGCGAAGGCGGUACUCGAGGCCGAGGGAUCGUCCGUGGUGACGAUACGUCUGCCACUGCUCACCGGGAUUCAACAUGGAGGAGAGGAGGACUCGCUCAAUUAGCUGACCUGAGGGAAAAUAGUUUAUAUAAAUGUGAAAAUGUAACACUAGAUCUACUGGUGUUUAUACACUGCUGUCGUAAAGUACAGUUUUAUUUAUGAGGCAUGUUUCAUAUUCACAUUUGGUCGAUAGAAGGCUCAGCAACCCCCAUGACCCUCAUGUGGAGGAUAAAGCGGACACACAAAGUAUUUUUGUGGCAGCAACUCGUAAUAACUCACUCAUUUUGGUCAUUUUUAGCAAAUAAUGAGGCUCUAUUCCACUGUGUUAUUUUUAGUUUCUAAUUACUCUGGGCCGUUACUGAGCUGAAGGUUUUUACAGCUUCUCCACUGAAAACAAUGGCCUUUGGCUACAAACACCACUAGUAAGAGAGGCCAUAAAAAAUAAAAACUAUUAAGUGGGAGAUGUUAAAACCCAGUCAAGAAUUGAAAAGAUUGUAACUGCAAAUGAUUCCCUGUGGUAUGUGUCACUAUUCUUUGCAUGUGAAUCUACAUUAAAAUAUCGAUCAAUAAAGCUUUUAAAUUCUC
This is a long non-coding RNA of Solea solea (common sole), 869 nucleotides long. RefSeq lists it as uncharacterized. The record is from RefSeq and is a predicted model, not a curated record. The transcript is spliced from 2 exons. NCBI's taxonomy places the organism in Eukaryota, Metazoa, Chordata, Actinopteri, Pleuronectiformes, Soleidae.